UUAUGAAUCAGUGUUUGUGCAAAAAAAAAUAUAUAUAUACAUAUGAUGGCAAAUCCUAAUCAUCCGAGUAGUCUUCAUCGGUUUCAGCAGUUUUCGUUAUUGCAAACUCUGUUUUAACAGACUCACGUUUGACAGGCGCUUCUAUGUUAGCAACGAAGCAAAUCACGUUGUUGUAAGAGACAUCUUCUUCAGCACUUACUCUCUUUGAAUCACUUAACAUUGUUUUAAGUGAUUUUUCCUUUCGUUUCUGUAGAUUUGCACACUCAGCUUUAAUGUGUCCGAUGUCCAAAACCUUGAACACUCAUGACAUUGAACUUGCCUUUUCGCUUUCCUUAGAUCAUCUCUUCCACCAUACUCCAUGCUGGAUUUUGAGAGGUUUUUGUCUUUCAAUAACUCUAGUUUCUUCAUGUAUCUCCCAAUCUUCUUCGUGAACAUCACCUAAUUUUCGUUUUCAUCAUCACUUUUUCUUUCGGUGGAGAGAAACGCAAGACUUCUUGCUCUUGCAGCGAGACCUCUGUUCUGAUCUUGCAUCCUCUUCUCCAUUUCAUAGGUUUGAAGAGAUCCAGUAAGCUCUUCAAGCUUCAUCUUAAUUUGUCACAUCGUUUGACUCCGUCAUCGCUGUCUUUUUGGGAGCAAACUUAUCGGGCAGAGACCUCAACACCUUCAUAACCAUAUCAAAUUCCAAGUAUUCUUUUCCAAGAGAAUAUGAUUCAUUCGCGAUGUCUCUAAGUUCUUUAUCGGGCAGAGACGUCAAUACCUCAUAACCAUAUCAAAUUCCGAGUAUUCUUUUCCAAGAGAAUAUGAUUCAUUCGCGAUGUCUCUAAGCUCUUUAUAAAAAUUCGCUAUGGUGCUGUCAUGCUGCAUCAAUAAACUAUCAAAGAGAGAUUUCAUCAUAAUAAGUUAUGGAAUAUCAUCAAACUUGAUCUUAUUGCUUUGAUCUAUGCGUCGUUUCCUGCGUUAGUUGAGUAAAAAAGUAUAGGGACUGUAGACGAUUAAUUCUAUAACCAAUGAUAAAUUGAUCAUUCGUGUUUUGUAUGUCCGACACUUGGAAGUAAACAUACAUUCUUUAGUAUUGUGAACUGAUAAAUGUCCACACGAAUCCGCAUCUAACUAUGUCCAAUCGCACCAGAAAAUUUUAACUUUUUCAUGUGUUUUGUGUUUCUCUUCGUUGUUCAAAAGGUU
This 1182-nucleotide long non-coding RNA is filed under the name Arabidopsis lyrata. RNAcentral describes it as "long non-coding RNA (ALYR_LNC000130)". The record is from RNAcentral. Lineage: Eukaryota; Viridiplantae; Streptophyta; Magnoliopsida; Brassicales; Brassicaceae.